CCGAUGGAUUAUGAUGUCUGUCUCACUGACGUCAGACAACAUACAAUAUAACAUAUCAAUUGAAUAUGUUGUCUGUCUCAAUGUCAACAAACAACAUAUAAUAACAUCCAUCGAUUGAAUAUGUUGUCUGUCUCAGUGUCAGCAGACAACAUAUAAUAAAAUCCAUCGAUUACUUAUGUUGUCUGUCUCAAUGACACCAGACAACUUGUACUAGACCAAUGAUUUUUGAAAACAACAGAG
This 240-nucleotide long non-coding RNA is filed under the name Mytilus galloprovincialis (Mediterranean mussel). The record is from RNAcentral. Lineage: Eukaryota; Metazoa; Mollusca; Bivalvia; Mytilida; Mytilidae.